GUCUACGUCCAUGCUACCCUGAACAAGCCUGAUCCCAUCUGAUCUUGGAAGCUAAGCAGGGUUGGGCCUGUUUAGUACUUGGAUAGGAGACCACCUAGGAAGACUAGGUGCUGUAGGUG
This 119-nucleotide ribosomal RNA is filed under the name Pteropus alecto (black flying fox). Lineage: Eukaryota; Metazoa; Chordata; Mammalia; Chiroptera; Pteropodidae. The record is from RNAcentral.